AACGAACGCUGGCGGCAGGCUUAACACAUGCAAGUCGAGCGCCCCGCAAGGGGAGCGGCAGACGGGUGAGUAACGCGUGGGAAUCUACCCAUCUCUACGGAAUAACGCAUGGAAACGUGUACUAAUACCGUAUACGUCCUUCGGGAGAAAGAUUUAUCGGAGAUGGAUGAGCCCGCGUUGGAUUAGCUAGUUGGUGGGGUAAAGGCCUACCAAGGCGACGAUCCAUAGCUGGUCUGAGAGGAUGAUCAGCCACACUGGGACUGAGACACGGCCCAGACUCCUACGGGAGGCAGCAGUGGGGAAUAUUGGACAAUGGGCGCAAGCCUGAUCCAGCCAUGCCGCGUGAGUGAGGAAGGCCCUAGGGUUGUAAAGCUCUUUCACCGGUGAAGAUAAUGACGGUAACCGGAGAAGAAGCCCCGGCUAACUUCGUGCCAGCCGCCGCGGUAA
This 447-nucleotide ribosomal RNA is filed under the name uncultured Hyphomicrobiales bacterium. Its description in RNAcentral is "bacterial SSU rRNA". It matches the Rfam family "Bacterial small subunit ribosomal RNA", at positions 29 to 523 of the family's 1533-position model. The record is from RNAcentral. Lineage: Bacteria; Pseudomonadati; Pseudomonadota; Alphaproteobacteria; Hyphomicrobiales.